GACGAACGCUGGCGGCGUGCCUAAUACAUGCAAGUAGAACGCACAGUUUAUACCGUAGCUUGCUACACCAUAAACUGUGAGUUGCGAACGGGUGAGUAACGCGUAGGUAACCUGCCUGGUAGCGGGGGAUAACUAUUGGAAACGAUAGCUAAUACCGCAUAAUAUUAAUUAUUGCAUGAUAAUUGAUUGAAAGAUGCAAUUGCAUCACUACCAGAUGGACCUGCGUUGUAUUAGCUAGUAGGUGAGGUAACGGCUCACCUAGGCGACGAUACAUAGCCGACCUGAGAGGGUGAUCGGCCACACUGGGACUGAGACACGGCCCAGACUCCUACGGGAGGCAGCAGUAGGGAAUCUUCGGCAAUGGACGAAAGUCUGACCGAGCAACGCCGCGUGAGUGAAGAAGGUUUUCGGAUCGUAAAGCUCUGUUGUAAGAGAAGAACGGGUGUGAGAGUGGAAAGUUCACACUGUGACGGUAUCUUACCAGAAAGGGACGGCUAACUACGU
RNAcentral lists this ribosomal RNA (504 nucleotides) under uncultured bacterium. RNAcentral describes it as "partial 16S ribosomal RNA". It matches the Rfam family "Bacterial small subunit ribosomal RNA", at positions 28 to 506 of the family's 1533-position model. The record is from RNAcentral.